This 3100-nucleotide long non-coding RNA is filed under the name Triticum aestivum (bread wheat). RNAcentral describes it as "long non-coding RNA (TAES_LNC025543)". The record is from RNAcentral. Lineage: Eukaryota; Viridiplantae; Streptophyta; Magnoliopsida; Poales; Poaceae.
UGGGAUCCUCCUAACUACUCUUGGUCGUCGUCAGCGGCUGCACGUAGUAGUAGGCACCUCCGGUGUAGUAGGAGUCGUCGUCGACAGUGGCGUCUGGCUCCUGGACUCCAUAGUCUGGUCGCAGCAAUUGGGUAGAGAAAUGGAAAAAAGGGGGAACAAGGCAACCGUGAGCACUCAUCCAAAGUACUCGCAAGCAAGGAACUACACUACAUAUGCGUGGGUAUAUGUGUAAAGGGGCAUAUUGGUGGACUGAACUGCAGAAUGCCAGAAUAAGAGGGGGAUAGCUAAUCCUGUCGAAGACUACGCUUCUGGCAGCCUCCGUCUUGCAGCAUGUAGAAGAGAGUAGACUGAAGUCCUCCAAGUAGCAUCACAUAGCAUAAUCCUACCCGGCGAUCCUCUCCUCGUCACCCUGUUAGAGAGCGAUCACUGGUUGUAUCUGGCACUUGGAAGGGUGUGUUUUAUUAAGUAUCCGGUUCUAGUUGUCAUAAGGUCAAGGUACAACUCCAAGUCGUCCUAUUACCGAAGAUCACGGCUAUUCGAAUAGAUUAACUUCCCUGCAGGGGUGCACCACAUAACCCAACACGCUCGAUCCCAUUUGGCCGGACACACUUUCCUGGGUCAUGCCCGGCCUCGGAAGAUCAACACGUCGUAGCCCUACCUAGGCACUAUAGAGAGGUCAGCACGCCGGUCUAAAUCCUAUGGCACAGGGGUCUGGGCCCAUCGCCCAUUGCAUACCUGCACGUUGCGAGGGCGGCCGGAAGCAGACCUAGCCUAGCAGGCGUUCCAGUCCAAUCUGGCGCGCGCCGCUUAGUCGCUGAUGUCACGACUGUCCCCGCAUAGAUGGUUAGUGCGUAUAGGCCAGUGGCCAGACUCAGAUCAAAUACCAAGAUCUCGUUAAAUGUGUUAUCUUGAAAUAACCGCGUACGCCGACCAGGGCCAGGCCCACCUCUCUCCUAGGUGGUCUCAACCUGCCCUAUCGCUUCGCCACAAAGAUUCACAUAGAGGGACGUUGGGACAAAGGUCCUUUCAGCCCCCAAUCCGUGAAUCACUCAUGGGUGCUCCAUGAGCCGACCCGACUUUAGUCACCACAUGUAUCAUGUAUAAAGUAUAUAGUAUAUACCCUUGAUCACCUCCCGAGUGAUCACGGCCCGAUAGUAUAGCAUGGCAUACGAACAAGAAUGUAGGGCCACUGAUGAUAAACUAGCAUCCUAUACUAAGCAUUAGGAUUGCAGGUAAAGGUAACAACAGUACUAGCAAGGACAGGCUAUGCAUCAGGAUAGGAUUAACGGAAAGCAGUAACAUGCUACACUACUUUAAUGCAAGCAGUAUAGAGGAGAGUAGGCGAUAUCUGGUGAUCAAGGGGGGCUUGCCUGGUUCCUCUGACAAGAGAGAGGGGUCAUCAACACCGUAGUCGUACUGGGUAGCAGCGGCGUCGGUCUCGGUGUCUAGCGAGAGAAGAGGGGGAAGAAACAAUAAAUAUUAAGCAAAUAGAUGCAUGAUGAUGCCUGACAUGACAAAGCGUGAUGCUAGGUGUGCCCUAACGCGGUAUGAGGUGGUACUGAUGAAGGGGGCAAACAUCUGGGAAAAUAUCCCCGGUGUUUCGUGUUUCUGGACAAAUGAACCGAAGGGGGAAAGUUGCGUGUUCGCUAUGCUAGGGAUGCGUGGCGGAGGAACGGGCUGCGUAUUCAGAUUCGUCUCGUUGUUCUGAGCAACUUUCAUGUACAAAGUAUUUCCAUCGGAGUUACGAAUUAUUUUAUAUUAAUUUUCAAAGUUUUAUUGAAUUUCUAGGGUUAUUUAAUUAUGAAAUAAUAAUAGAAUACUUUUGUCACCUAGCUCUAGUCUAGACAAAGUGCAUGACAGGUGGGGUCCACGGGGGUCCAAUCAACUGUUGACCAGUCAACAGUUGACUGGUCAACUGGGUCAUGGGUCCUAGAUGUCAUUGACACAGACUUUUAAUUAGGCUUAAAAAAUAAGAUAGGCCCACCUGAUAUAAACUGCAUCUAAAGCAAAUCAGUCAAAUUAGUUAAUUUAAAGGGAUUAGCACUAAUGGAGAUUAGCUCCUAAUCUCAACAGGGGGCCGGCCCAGGUCGUAGUGGCCUAGGAGGUCACACACACGAACACGCACAACACACACCUACAGCACACGGACGCACAAGCACUCGGCCAUGGCCACAGCCACAGCCGAGGCGAGCGCCGGACAGCAUCGGCGAACGCUGGCUUGCACCGGCGGCAGUGGGUGCUAGUAGGCGGCGGCAGCAGUAGGUAGCGACAGCAACAUCAUAGUAGCGACGCCGCAAGCAGCAGGCCGGGACACGGGCGCGCACGCACACACUAUGCAGGGACGUCGACAGCUGAAGCCAACAGCCCCAGCCGCAUGCAGCAGCGCGACACCAGGGAGGCGGGUGUGCUCGCACGCCCGGGGCGCGGCAGCGCACGGUGUGGGCGUUGGACAAGCGGCAGCGUGCGGUGCAGGCAGCGCCGCAGCACGCAGCGGUAGUAGCCGGAGCAGGGGAAUGGGCGACAACGAGCGGCGAGCAGGGCAUCAGAGUGACAAUAGGCAGCAACAGUAGCGUGGUAGAGUAGAGGCAAGAAGCAGAGCAGCAGAGCAACUGAAGGAGAAGCCGGCGUGCAUGCGCGGACACUGAGGUUCGGCCAUGGCGGCCGCUGGCUUGUACAAGCGGCUAUGGUAACGAAUCGAGACCGGGGUGAUGGGGAUUCGGGGGAGGAGCUCACCGCGAGCUCGAUGACGAGGCCGGGGAAGCCGGAGACGGACCGGAGCAGCGGCAAUCGACGACGAACGAUGGUGAUGUACGCGACGGAAAAGAGCUUGAUGGCGAGUGUACGAUGCGGUCCUGCCCGAUUUGAUACCCGGGAUGGACGAAGUCGACGAUGGUGGUCAUUCUGGACAUCUUCUCAGGCGACGGGAAGCACGAUGGCCGCGGCGACGAUGACGGCCAUGACGAUCACGGCUCGGGCAAGAUCUAAAUUGAGAAAGACAGAGAAGGAGGGGAAGAAUGGGGAUCAGGGUUUGUCACAGCGACGGGGGGCUCUUAUCCUUCUCGGGGUGUCGUGGAUGCUCGACACGAGCUAAUCGGGCGCG